Molecule: long non-coding RNA, 682 nt
Filed under: Chinchilla lanigera (long-tailed chinchilla)
Lineage: Eukaryota; Metazoa; Chordata; Mammalia; Rodentia; Chinchillidae
Description: lncRNA (ENSCLAG00000023531.1)
Source: RNAcentral
CUGCUAAGGGCUGGAUGAUUCAUAUGCUGACUGUCAGUACCAGUGGGCUAAAUAUGAAAGAAGUUGCUGGAAGCUUCAUUCCAGGGCAGGGAAUGGAAACUGUCCUUCCAACCACAGCAGCUAUGGCCCUGUCAGACCCCAGAAGCUGGCCACAUAUAUACACUAACUUCCCAGCUCAUAGGGCCCCCAGCCUGACCAAAAUUGCUAUGCAUAUGUAACCUCUCAGCUCUUUGCUUUCAUUCUUCCCUGUGUUGAAUGAAAUUCUAAAGCUGUUGUCAGGACAGGGAAGACAGUUUUCUAGACUAGCUAUCUUUCCUGUUUGGUUACACUGAAAAUAAAUUCCAUCUUACUUUGCCAUCAUUUCUCUGUCUUUGUUAAACAGACUGCAGAGGUAACAGGUGACAGGAGCUGAUACCCCUAGGCUCUGGUCUCUGGCCACGGACUCUGGUAACAACUGAUGCAUAAGGAAAUAGUGAAGGUGUUAGGAAGAGUUUCUAGAGGAAAGGAAUGUAGCUUUCUCAGUCAUUUUCUCCUUCCCGCUGACUAGAAUGUGAGUGGAAAUGCUGCAGUUCCAGCGUUUGCCUUAGACCACGAGGUGGCUGUGGAAAUGGGAACUCUGCAUGAAGGAGCAGCAAGACAGAAGCCCAAGUUCCUGGUCCCAAGGAGCACAAUUCCAUUCCUG